RNAcentral lists this ribosomal RNA (402 nucleotides) under uncultured bacterium. RNAcentral describes it as "bacterial SSU rRNA". It matches the Rfam family "Bacterial small subunit ribosomal RNA", at positions 29 to 460 of the family's 1533-position model. The record is from RNAcentral.
AACGAACGCUGGCGGCAGGCUUAACACAUGCAAGUCGAGCGCCCCGCAAGGGGAGCGGCAGACGGGUGAGUAACGCGUGGGAAUCUACCCAUCUCUACGGAAUAACCCAGGGAAACUUGGACUAAUACCGUAUACGCCCUUCGGGGGAAAGAUUUAUCGGAGAUGGAUGAGCCCGCGUUGGAUUAGCUAGUUGGUGGGGUAAUGGCCUACCAAGGCGACGAUCCAUAGCUGGUCUGAGAGGAUGAUCAGCCACACUGGGACUGAGACACGGCCCAGACUCCUACGGGAGGCAGCAGUGGGGAAUAUUGGACAAUGGGCGAAAGCCUGAUCCAGCCAUGCCGCGUGAGUGAUGAAGGCCCUAGGGUUGUAAAGCUCUUUCAACGGUGAAGAUAAUGACUUAAC